This 465-nucleotide ribosomal RNA is filed under the name uncultured bacterium. RNAcentral describes it as "partial 16S ribosomal RNA". It matches the Rfam family "Bacterial small subunit ribosomal RNA", at positions 28 to 507 of the family's 1533-position model. The record is from RNAcentral.
GACGAACGCUGGCGGCGUGCUUAACACGUGCAAGUCGAACGGAAAGGCCCUGCUUGCAGGGUACUCGAGUGGCGAACGGGUGGGUAACACGUGGGUGAUCUGCCCUGCACUUCGGGAUAAGCCUGGGAAACUGGGUCUAAUACCGGAUAGGAGCCAUUUUUAGUGUGAUGGUUGGAAAGUUUUUUCGGUGUAGGAUGAGCUCGCGGCCUAUCAGCUUGUUGGUGGGGUAAUGGCCUACCAAGGCGGCGACGGGUAGCCGGCCUGAGAGGGUGGACGGCCACAUUGGGACUGAGAUACGGCCCAGACUCCUACGGGAGGCAGCAGUGGGGAAUAUUGCACAAUGGGCGCAAGCCUGAUGCAGCGACGCCGCGUGGGGGAUGACGGCCUUCGGGUUGUAAACUCCCUUCGCUAGGGACGAAGCUUUUUGUGACGGUACCUAGAUAAGAAGCACCGGCUAACUACGUG